RNAcentral lists this ribosomal RNA (506 nucleotides) under uncultured bacterium. RNAcentral describes it as "bacterial SSU rRNA". It matches the Rfam family "Bacterial small subunit ribosomal RNA", at positions 18 to 518 of the family's 1533-position model. The record is from RNAcentral.
UAUGGCUCAGGAUGAACGCUGGCGGCGUGCCUAAUACAUGCAAGUCGAACGAGAGUGCUUGCACUCUAGUGGCGAACGGGUGAGUAACACGUAGGUAACCUGCCUUACAGUUGGGAUACCCUGGCGAAAGCUAGGCUAAUACCGAAUAAUUGGAUUGGAGGCAUCUCCGAUCUCUAAAAGGGGCCUUUAAAGCCUCGCUGAAUGAUGGACCUGCGGCGCAUUAGCUAGUUGGUGAGAUAACAGCCCACCAAGGCGAGGAUGCGUAGCCGACCUGAGAGGGUGAACGGCCACACUGGAACUGAGACACGGUCCAGACUCCUACGGGAGGCAGCAGUAGGGAGUUUUCGGCAAUGGGGGCAACCCUGACCGAGCAACGCCGCGUGAAUGAUGAAAGGUCUUCGGAUUGUAAAGUUCUGUUAUAAGGGAAAAAUGAUAUGGUGAGGAAAUGCUCCAUAUUUGAUGGUACCUUAUUAGAAAGCCACGGCUAACUACGUGCCAGCAGCAGC